GCAGUGAAACGGCCCAAGCGACUGUUUACCAAAAACACAGGUCUCUGCGAAGUCGAAAGACGACGUAUAGGGGCUGACGCCUGCCCGGUGCCGGAAGGUCAAGUGGAGAGGUUAGCCUUCGGGCGAAGCUUUGAAACUAAGCCCCGGUAAACGGCGGCGGUAACUAUAACCGUCCUAAGGUAGCGAAAUUCCUUGUCGGGUAAGUUCCGACCUGCACGAAUGGCGUAACGACUUGGGCGCUGUCUCAACGAGGGAUCCGGUGAAAUUGUAGUCUCGGUGAAGAUGCCGAGUACCCGUGGUUGGACGGAAAGACCCCGUGAACCUUUACUACAGCUUGACGUUGGAGUUCGGUGUACGUUGUCCAGGAUAGGUGGGAGACUGUGAAGCGGGGACGCUAGUCCUCGUGGAGUCAACCUUGGGAUACCACCCUUCGUGUUCUGGGCUUCUAACCCGCUGCCGUAAUCCGGGGCGGGAACAGCGUCAGGUGGGUAGUUUGACUGGGGCGGUCGCCUCCUAAAAUGUAACGGAGGCGCACAAAGGUUCCCUCAGCACGGUUGGAAAUCGUGCGUAGAGUGUAAAGGCAGAAGGGAGCUUGACUGCGAGACUGACAAGUCGAGCAGGUGCGAAAGCAGGCCUUAGUGAUCCGGCGGUAGAGAGUGGAAUUGCCGUCGCUCAACGGAUAAAAGGUACUCCGGGGAUAACAGGCUUAUACUUCCCAAGAGUCCACAUCGACGGAAGUGUUUGGCACCUCGAUGUCGGCUCGUCGCAUCCUGGGGCCGGAGUAGGUCCCAAGGGUUGGGCUGUUCGCCCAUUAAAGCGGUACGCGAGCUGGGUUCAGAACGUCGUGAGACAGUUCGGUCCCUAUCCACCAUGGGCGCUGGAAGUUUGAGAGGAGUCGUCUCUAGUACGAGAGGACCGAGACGAACAGACCUCUGGUGUAUCAGUCGUCGUGCCAACGGCGCUGCUGAUUAGCCACGUCUGGAUGGGAUAACCGCUGAAAGCAUCUAAGCGGGAAGCCCACCUCGAGAUGAGGCUUCCCAUCCCCUUGAGGGAGUAAGGGUCGUGGGAGACCACCACGUUGAUAGGCGGGACGUGCAAGCGCAGCAAUGCGUUUAGCGGACCCGUACUAAUUACCCGAGGUCUUGAUUUG
RNAcentral lists this ribosomal RNA (1150 nucleotides) under soil metagenome. RNAcentral describes it as "bacterial LSU rRNA". It matches the Rfam family "Bacterial large subunit ribosomal RNA", at positions 1779 to 2925 of the family's 2925-position model. The record is from RNAcentral.